Long non-coding RNA from Strongylocentrotus purpuratus (purple sea urchin), 1247 nucleotides. RefSeq lists it as uncharacterized. NCBI's taxonomy places the organism in Eukaryota, Metazoa, Echinodermata, Echinoidea, Camarodonta, Strongylocentrotidae. The transcript is spliced from 3 exons. The record is from RefSeq and is a predicted model, not a curated record.
GGUGUAAGUGACAGCGAACUGAAAGAACGAAUCACGAAUGGAUAUAUAAUGAGAAGGCCGCUACAUUGUGGUGAAGAUCUGUUCAACAUAAUUUCAGACUGUUGGAAGACGGACAUAAAGCAACGCAGCACCUUUCAUGACAUGCACAUCAAAAUUGGUUGGAUUCUCGAGGGUUCAAAUGAUUAUCUCUCCCUGAACAGGAUGAGUGACGAGGAUAUUUACACUGAUAUACCUGACUUGGAAUAGGGGUCAAAUGGUUAAUAAUUUUGUUCAGACAUAAUUUUCUUAGCACACACAACAGUCUGCUUCAAAAUGAAACUUGAUUCCAUGUAUAUGAUUAUCAUUUUAAAUUACUAAAAUCAGAACAACAAUAUUAACGUUAUCAAUAAACUACUACUACUACUAGAAGUUAAUUUAUCUAAAAACGUAAUUCCGAUUGUAAAUACAAUCCAAUACUAAUUGUUUUCGUACUACAAUAAUGAUAUUUUUAGAAUGUAUGCCACUCUAAACAAAGUAUCAUUUCAGUUUAUUAUUCCAUUUCUGAUGGAAUAUAUGAAUGCUUUGAAUGCUUUUGAACUAUAUAUUUUCAGCAUCCUUAUUAAACUGCUCUUUCUUGUUCUAAAACUAUAUCUUUAAUCUUAGUGUAAUUUACCGCAAUAAAACAGGUCACUUAGUUCAGCUUUUUACAUAUUGGUAGGUAUAUAAUCAUUUGUACAUUAACCCCUGUUAAUUCAAUCCAUAAUGUCUGGUGUGAUUUUUUUCAACUUUUAUUUUGUUAUUUUAAAGUGAUGUCGUCAUCUUUUGUUUGAAUAUUCACUUUCGUUAUGUAGGAUCGUAUCACUUCUAAGAUUUCUUAUAUAAAUAUUUUAAUGUAGAUUCAAUGAAUAUCAAUUGUCUCAUGAAACAUUUCACUCUUCCAAAUAAUUUCUUAGAACCAAUUAUUUAUCAUUUGUGUAUUUUGUGUAACUUGCACCGAUCAUGUUUCUAUUCAACUUAACUGGUACUAAAAUCAACAUUUAUUGGAAUGAGAUAAGAUUUGCCCUAAAAAUUGUAUAUGUUUGUAUGUUGUUAUUUAGUAUAAUAAUGUUCAUUCUUAUUCUGAUUUCGUAUAUUGUACAUUUUGUUCUUCUGAUUAUCUACAAAACAUUAUUAAUGAGUAAAUGUUUGGGUUUAAUAUGAAAUCUUGAAUCUUAAACUACUUAUUUUGAUAAUAAUAAUGAUAAUACCAUCAAUAAAAAUAAGAAGAA